This 733-nucleotide ribosomal RNA is filed under the name Pediococcus pentosaceus. RNAcentral's name for it is "bacterial SSU rRNA". It matches the Rfam family "Bacterial small subunit ribosomal RNA", at positions 51 to 739 of the family's 1533-position model. The record is from RNAcentral. Lineage: Bacteria; Bacillati; Bacillota; Bacilli; Lactobacillales; Lactobacillaceae.
AUACAUGCAAGUCGAACGAACUUCCGUUAAUUGAUUAUGACGUACUUGUACUGAUUGAGAUUUUAACACGAAGUGAGUGGCGAACGGGUGAGUAACACGUGGGUAACCUGCCCAGAAGUAGGGGAUAACACCUGGAAACAGAUGCUAAUACCGUAUAACAGAGAAAACCGCAUGGUUUUCUUUUAAAAGAUGGCUCUGCUAUCACUUCUGGAUGGACCCGCGGCGUAUUAGCUAGUUGGUGAGGUAAAGGCUCACCAAGGCAGUGAUACGUAGCCGACCUGAGAGGGUAAUCGGCCACAUUGGGACUGAGACACGGCCCAGACUCCUACGGGAGGCAGCAGUAGGGAAUCUUCCACAAUGGACGCAAGUCUGAUGGAGCAACGCCGCGUGAGUGAAGAAGGGUUUCGGCUCGUAAAGCUCUGUUGUUAAAGAAGAACGUGGGUAAGAGUAACUGUUUACCCAGUGACGGUAUUUAACCAGAAAGCCACGGCUAACUACGUGCCAGCAGCCGCGGUAAUACGUAGGUGGCAAGCGUUAUCCGGAUUUAUUGGGCGUAAAGCGAGCGCAGGCGGUCUUUUAAGUCUAAUGUGAAAGCCUUCGGCUCAACCGAAGAAGUGCAUUGGAAACUGGGAGACUUGAGUGCAGAAGAGGACAGUGGAACUCCAUGUGUAGCGGUGAAAUGCGUAGAUAUAUGGAAGAACACCAGUGGCGAAGGCGGCUGUCUGGUCUGCAA